This 446-nucleotide long non-coding RNA is filed under the name Monodelphis domestica (gray short-tailed opossum). Its description in RNAcentral is "lncRNA (ENSMODG00000030330.2)". The record is from RNAcentral. Lineage: Eukaryota; Metazoa; Chordata; Mammalia; Didelphimorphia; Didelphidae.
UAACAGGCAGGGAAGAAUGGGAAAGGAAAGUGGGGAGAAAGGGUCCCUGUCUCUAUCUAAACCCUUUCCCCUCCCUCCUCAAGUUUGGGGGGGAACUCAGGCCUUGGCAGCCUGAGCCCCCUGAGACAAAGUCAGGUUGACUCACAACAGGACAACAGGAGCUGAGGUAAAGUCUGCUCAGGUUUCUCUUCAGAAAGUCCCUUCAAUUGGGAAGUGUUGGGGGUAAAGAUUUCCAGUUACCAGCAGGAAAAAUGGGUAACACUCAGGAAAAAGUCUUUUCCCCAACUUCUCUCUUUAGCUUCUCAAGACUGAGAGACCCUCACUGUUCUUCAAGCCAGAGUCUCCUCCUUCUCCGGAUUCCACUCCUGGGGCCCCUCCCCUAUCAAGUUGGAAGAGCAGGUGGUACAAUUCCCACCAGACCUGGCUUUGAGUCUUGGCAAUCUUAG